GAGAAAACCCUGUGCCCUUGGAGAAAAUUGUUUCCCCUCUUCCUACAGGGAAUCCAGAGCCUGAGCAGCAGCUGUGAAGAGUGGAGAUAAAGAAAGAAGUGGAAGAUGUUGGAAGAGCUUUGGGCAACGUGAAGAAGGAUUUGCACUGAAGGAGCUGUUCAAGGGCCCAGCCGCAAAACAGAGACACAUACAUGCUUAUAUAUAGAAGAAUGUAAACCCUCCUGUAUGCAUACGUUAAAACGUGCAUGCCUUGUUGAGAACGUAAGCAACAUUCCUUGUAGAUGAUGGUGGUAUGAGCAUUUGUGCUCCUGCAGUCUGAGUCAAGAGAUUAGUGAUGUCCCUGCUGUGAUGCUAGCGUUGUCUCCCCUGCACCUUGUCUAUGGUGACAUAAGUGUCCCUUUCGAUGCAGCAAGCAAGAGAAAGUAGAUACACAUCUGGAGCCUCUGCGUAAACGAAGGCAAAACAAACCAUCCCGCUCAGAGCUGUACAGAACUGAUUUUCUUUGGGGCAGCUCUUUCUCUUGGCGCGGUUCUGAGCUUGGGAAGCAGCGUUCACGGAGGUGGUGAGGACACAGCAGCUCCUGUCACAGCUGUGUCCACAUCAAAGUCUGCUACUGCAGAACCUCCCGGAUGGGGGUGUAGGCAGUCCUCAACUCCUGUGAUCCAGGGAAAAGAGUUACAUCUGGGCUCAGCAGGAGACUCGUUGGCAGUGAUCCUUACGCACAUUUUUUAGAAACAUUUUUCCCAGCUUUGGAUAUUUGCAGCACAAAAUUGACCUUCACGUGGCAGGGGGGACUUCCAAAGGCAUACAGGGAUGUUAUAGGAGUUCAGUUUCCAAAGGAGGUUCCUUGUCUUUUAAAGACACUUCCUAACCUGCAACCAAUCAAGGAGCAAACUGCUCCAUCCCUGUCAGACUUUCGGUUUGUCGCUACUGCAGGAGAAAUGUUUCUAAGCAAUCUAAAGGCUAAAUUGUCUCUUUAUCAAAUAUUCACCGAUGUGUUUUGGGCACCUGCACACAUAUUCAUGGGGAAUAUUGAUCCGAGUCAGUUCCCAAACAGCAGAAGGGCUACGCUGAAAGCGCAAAUUGUUCCUAAUGAGUAACCUUGCCCUACUUUAUAUCAUGCGCAGUGGUGGGAGGGAUCAUGUAGCUAAGUGUAUUUUGUCUGUGGGUAGAGUGUGGAUGGCCUCAGAGCCGCAGGGAUUAGCCACCCAUCAAACACUGUUCUGCCACUUGUGGCCUGAUGCAUCCCACGUCCCUGCCCGGCUCAGUCUCCUACUGAUCUAAGUAAGAAUUCUUCUAGCAAAAGGAGGAGCCCCAGCUGAUUUCAGCAGUGCUGCAAGGAUUAGUGACUGCCGGAUCAGGUACAGCCUAAAAAACACAGUUUUCUGCAAAAAAGCCAGGGGAGCUGGCUUACACAUCUCAGUGCAAGACAGAGGGCUCUCCCACAUUCCCCUCACCCUUAACAGUUAUUACUAGCUCCUGAGAUCUGAAUGUUUAUAAUAAACUUCUAACCUGGAA
Molecule: long non-coding RNA, 1518 nt
Organism: Gallus gallus (chicken)
Lineage: Eukaryota; Metazoa; Chordata; Aves; Galliformes; Phasianidae
Exons: 2
Source: RefSeq, a predicted model, not a curated record